CCCUUAGAUGUUCUGGGCCGCACGCGUGCUACACUGAGUGGAUCAGCGGGUCAGGUUGCGCGAAAGCGUUUCCUAAUCUUUAAAUCCGCUCGUGAUGGGGAUUGACGGUUGCAAUUUUCUGUCAUGAACGAGGAAUACCUUGUAAGCGCGGGUCAUCAUCCCGCGCUGAAUACGUCCCUGCCCUUUGUACACACCGCCCGUCGCUCCUACCGAUUGAGUGGUCCGGUGAGGCUUUGGGAUCUGAGCGGAAAGAGCGUUUCGCUGUUUCUGCUCGGAAAACUCAGUCGAACCUUAUCAUUUAGAGGAAGGAGAAUUCGUAACA
Molecule: ribosomal RNA, 322 nt
Filed under: uncultured eukaryote
Lineage: Eukaryota
Description: partial 18S ribosomal RNA
Rfam family: Eukaryotic small subunit ribosomal RNA
Source: RNAcentral